RNAcentral lists this unclassified non-coding RNA (582 nucleotides) under Athalia rosae (coleseed sawfly). Its description in RNAcentral is "misc RNA ENSAEAG00005010134.1". Lineage: Eukaryota; Metazoa; Arthropoda; Insecta; Hymenoptera; Athaliidae. The record is from RNAcentral.
CGACGAUUCAAAAAACCAGAAGAAUCUCGGUGGGAAAUUGAGCUUCCCACAGAUGUUAUGUAGGACAUCGGUGAAGAUCUGAGUGCCAGGAGGCUGCAUGGGUGGGGAGGUCGCUGAAAAGUUGAAGGCGAUCGCGGUUGCUGCUAACAACAAUAAGCCAAGGAAUGGAGAAGACAUGGCAGUGGGAGCAGCGAAGGUACUGCUACAUUACUCUACUGAACCUUUUGCCGUUUACAGAGGAGGAUCAACGGGGUUUGCAGACUGCAGAUGAAACGAAGCCGUUGUUUCGAAGUUCUUGUAACAGGAGCGACCUGAAAAGUUCAUCCAGCCAGAAGACGAGACUGUAGCAUCGGGUAUCAGAGGGCGAUACGACCGACCGACUGAGAAGAGCCGCGCCAAGACGGCGGAGAAACGGAACCGAGAGGCAAAAAAUAGAAGAAGAAGAAGCGAACGAAGGGGCUGUCGAAGAGGGAGCUCGGAAAAGCACGGGGACGGAGCUGGGAACGAUCGCUGUCGAAAUAAAAACCCUGGAAAAUUACGUCAUGGGCCCGGCACCCCACAGUCAACUCCACUGAGCGAUGC